RNAcentral lists this ribosomal RNA (395 nucleotides) under uncultured bacterium. RNAcentral's name for it is "bacterial SSU rRNA". It matches the Rfam family "Bacterial small subunit ribosomal RNA", at positions 498 to 892 of the family's 1533-position model. The record is from RNAcentral.
UUCGAUUGUGCCAGCAGCCGCGGUAAUACAGAGGGUGCAAGCGUUAAUCGGAUUUACUGGGCGUAAAGCGCGCGUAGGUGGCCAAUUAAGUCAAAUGUGAAAUCCCCGAGCUUAACUUGGGAAUUGCAUUCGAUACUGGUUGGCUAGAGUAUGGGAGAGGAUGGUAGAAUUCCAGGUGUAGCGGUGAAAUGCGUAGAGAUCUGGAGGAAUACCGAUGGCGAAGGCAGCCAUCUGGCCUAAUACUGACACUGAGGUGCGAAAGCAUGGGGAGCAAACAGGAUUAGAUACCCUGGUAGUCCAUGCCGUAAACGAUGUCUACUAGCCGUUGGGGCCUUUGAGGCUUUAGUGGCGCAGCUAACGCGAUAAGUAGACCGCCUGGGGAGUACGGUCGCAAG